Molecule: non-coding RNA, 50 nt
Filed under: Massilia sp. 9I
Lineage: Bacteria; Pseudomonadati; Pseudomonadota; Betaproteobacteria; Burkholderiales; Oxalobacteraceae
Description: mini-ykkC
Rfam family: Guanidine-II riboswitch aptamer (mini-ykkC)
About the family: Simpler in structure and has fewer highly conserved nucleotide positions than the ykkC-yxkD leader. Despite this each of its two stem-loop structures directly bind free guanidine. Therefore, mini-ykkC RNA motif represents a distinct class of guanidine-sensing RNAs.
Source: RNAcentral
GCAGGAGGACGGCCUCCCCCAGCGUGGGAACAAUAACCGGGACGGCCCGG